This 774-nucleotide ribosomal RNA is filed under the name uncultured Neocallimastigales. RNAcentral describes it as "partial large subunit ribosomal RNA". It matches the Rfam family "Eukaryotic large subunit ribosomal RNA", at positions 20 to 627 of the family's 3401-position model. The record is from RNAcentral. Lineage: Eukaryota; Fungi; Neocallimastigomycota; Neocallimastigomycetes; Neocallimastigales.
UACUAGAGUAGCACUCGCAUAUCAAUAAGCGGAGGAAAAGAAACUAACAAGGAUUCCCCUAGUAACGGCGAGUGAAGCGGGAAGAGCUCAAAUUUGAAAUCUUAAAGGGUUUCCCUUUACGAAUUGUAGUUUAAAGAAGUGUUUUCUGUUGAGGUUUUGGUAAAAGUUCUUUGGAAUAGGACAUCAUAGAGGGUGAGAAUCCCGUAUUUGACCUUUACUUUCAACUUUGUGAUACACUUUCAAAGAGUCGGAUUGUUUGGGAAUGCAGUCCAAAAUGGGUGGUAAAUUUCAUCUAAAGCUAAAUAUUGGCGAGAGACCGAUAGCGAACAAGUACCGUGAGGGAAAGAUGAAAAGAACUUUGAAAAGAGAGUUAAACAGUACGUGAAAUUGUCAAAAGGGAAGCGUUUGACACCAGUGUUGUUUUUCUGAAAAUCAAUUAAAGAACUGUUUAUGCUAAGCUGUUUAGACUUUAUCAGCUAUCUGUUUAGUUUUGAGCUUUUCUUUAAUGCACUUUUCAGUUAACAAGUCAACAUCAAUUUCUUUUGCUGUAAAAAAGCUUGUGGAAGGUGGCUUGAGAUUCGUCUUAAGUGUUUAUAGCCUCUUGCCUAUGCAGUCGGAGAGAUUGAGGUCUGCAGCGUAGAUCCUUCGGGGCUAAAUGCAUUUGUGCUAAGUUAUAGCAUUUUAUAGACAACUUGUUGACUAUGAUUUGUCUUGUAGCUUACUCGCUUAUGUUAUUUUACCUACGCUUAGGAUGUUGAACUCUAUCACACACAG